GUGGGGAAUAUUGGACAAUGGGCGCAAGCCUGAUCCAGCCAUGCCGCGUGAGUGAUGAAGGCCCUAGGGUUGUAAAGCUCUUUCACCGGAGAAGAUAAUGACGGUAUCCGGAGAAGAAGCCCCGGCUAACUUCGUGCCAGCAGCCGCGGUAAUACGAAGGGGGCUAGCGUUGUUCGGAAUUACUGGGCGUAAAGCGCACGUAGGCGGAUAUUUAAGUCAGGGGUGAAAUCCCGGAGCUCAACUCCGGAACUGCCUUUGAUACUGGGUAUCUCGAGUAUGGAAGAGGUGAGUGGAAUUCCGAGUGUAGAGGUGAAAUUCGUAGAUAUUCGGAGGAACACCAGUGGCGAAGGCGGCUCACUGGUCCAUUACUGACGCUGAGGCGCGAAAGCGUGGGGAGCAAACAGGAUUAGAUACCCGAGUAGUCC
Molecule: ribosomal RNA, 425 nt
Filed under: uncultured bacterium
Lineage: Bacteria
Description: partial 16S ribosomal RNA
Rfam family: Bacterial small subunit ribosomal RNA
Source: RNAcentral